UCCAUGGUAGCUGACGGUAAAGCGUCUGCCUACAAUGCAGGAGACCUGGGUUCGAUCCCUGGGUCGGGAA
This 70-nucleotide transfer RNA is filed under the name Bos taurus (domestic cattle). It matches the Rfam family "tRNA". From Rfam's summary of the family: Transfer RNA (tRNA) molecules are approximately 80 nucleotides in length. Their secondary structure includes four short double-helical elements and three loops (D, anti-codon, and T loops). The record is from Rfam by way of RNAcentral. RNAcentral also lists the same sequence under 4 other names. Lineage: Eukaryota; Metazoa; Chordata; Mammalia; Artiodactyla; Bovidae.